This 216-nucleotide unclassified non-coding RNA is filed under the name rhizosphere metagenome. Its description in RNAcentral is "partial ribosomal RNA internal transcribed spacer region". The record is from RNAcentral.
GUAGGUGAACCUGCGGAAGGAUCAUUAGUGAAUUAUAGGGCGUCUACUUGUAGAGCCUGACCUCCACUUCUAACACUGUGCACUUGAUGGAAAGGUAAUUAUGAUUAGGCUUCGGCUUAUGAUGAGAACCUUUCGGCUUCAUUUUAAACAUUAGUCAAAGUAUGUAAAGAAAUUUAAAACAAAAAAAAACUUUCAACAACGGAUCUCUUGGUUCUG